This is a long non-coding RNA of Pollicipes pollicipes, 294 nucleotides long. RefSeq lists it as uncharacterized. Lineage: Eukaryota; Metazoa; Arthropoda; Thecostraca; Pollicipedomorpha; Pollicipedidae. The record is from RefSeq and is a predicted model, not a curated record. The transcript has 3 exons.
AAACAUGAACCUCAUGAAGACGUUCAGCAAGAUCAUCAUCCUCUUCUACAAGGCGGAUGUGCUGCACGAGGAGGUCAUCUUGCGCUGGUACCAGGACACGCAGGAGGGCAAGGCCAAGGGCAAGACGGUGUUCCUGGAGCAGAUGAAGGGCUUCAUCGACUGGCUCAAGAACGCCGAAGAGGAGGACUCAGAUGAAGAGGAGGACGACUAGAGGAGCGAGCGCCGCUCUCGCCGCCCUGUACAACCGCCCCGCCCCUCCCCCUCCCCUGCCCCCCCCUCCCUCCCCCUCCGCUC